This 446-nucleotide ribosomal RNA is filed under the name uncultured bacterium. RNAcentral describes it as "partial 16S ribosomal RNA". It matches the Rfam family "Bacterial small subunit ribosomal RNA", at positions 338 to 795 of the family's 1533-position model. The record is from RNAcentral.
CCUACGGGUGGCUGCAGUAGGGAAUCUUCCACAAUUGGCGAAAGCCUGAUGGAGCAACGCCGCGUGAACGAAGAAGUUAUUCGUAAUGUAAAGUUCUUUUAACAGGGAAGAAAGAGAAAUUUGACGGUACCUGAAGAAUAAGCUCCGGCUAACUACGUGCCAGCAGACGCGGUAAUACGUAGCGAGCGAGCGUUAUCCGGAGUUAUUGGGCGUAAAGGGUGCGUAGAUGGAAUAGUAAGUCGUUCGUAAAAAUGCUGGGCUCAACCCAGUAGGGCAACAGAUACUGCAAAGCUAGAGGAUGACAGAGGCAAGUGGAACGACAUGUGUAGCGGUAAAAUGCGUAAAUAUAUGUAAGAACACCAGUGGCGAAGGCGGCUUGCUGGGUCGAUACUGACAUUGAGGCACGAAAGCGUGGGGAGCAAACAGGAUUAGAUACCCCUGUAGUC